AGAGUUUGAUCCUGGCUCAGAUUGAACGCUGGCGGCAGGCCUAACACAUGCAAGUCGAGCGGUAGAGAGAAGCUUGCUUCUCUUGAGAGCGGCGGACGGGUGAGUAAUGCCUAGGAAUCUGCCUAGUGGUGGGGGAUAACGUUCGGAAACGGACGCUAAUACCGCAUACGUCCUACGGGAGAAAGCGGGGGACCUUCGGGCCUCGCGCCAUUAGAUGAGCCUAGGUCGGAUUAGCUAGUUGGUGAGGUAAAGGCUCACCAAGGCGACGAUCCGUAACUGGUCUGAGAGGAUGAUCAGUCACACUGGAACUGAGACACGGUCCAGACUCCUACGGGAGGCAGCAGUGGGGAAUAUUGGACAAUGGGCGAAAGCCUGAUCCAGCCAUGCCGCGUGUGUGAAGAAGGUCUUCGGAUUGUAAAGCACUUUAAGUUGGGAGGAAGGGUAGUAACUUAAUACGUUGCUACUUUGACGUUACCGACAGAAUAAGCACCGGCUAACUUCGUGCCAGCAGCCGCGGUAAUACGAAGGGUGCAAGCGUUAAUCGGAAUUACUGGGCGUAAAGCGCGCGCAGGUGGUUCAGUAAGUUGGAUGUGAAAUCCCCGGGCUCAACCUGNGAACUGCACCCAAAACUGCUGAGCUAGAGUACGGU
RNAcentral lists this ribosomal RNA (649 nucleotides) under uncultured bacterium. RNAcentral's name for it is "bacterial SSU rRNA". It matches the Rfam family "Bacterial small subunit ribosomal RNA", at positions 8 to 652 of the family's 1533-position model. The record is from RNAcentral.